Neopelma chrysocephalum (saffron-crested tyrant-manakin) is the source of this 237-nucleotide long non-coding RNA. RefSeq lists it as uncharacterized. The record is from RefSeq and is a predicted model, not a curated record. Lineage: Eukaryota; Metazoa; Chordata; Aves; Passeriformes; Pipridae. The transcript is spliced from 5 exons.
AGGGAGAAUCCGGCGUCGGAGCUUCCGGUCCCAGAGGUCCCCGUGGAAUUCCUGGCCCUCGGGGUGACGAGGGCAUCGUGGGACUCCGUGGUCCCGUGGGAAUGAUGGGUCUCAAAGGAUUCCCGGGAUCCAAAGGGGAAAGAGGCGAUCGGGGACUUCCGGGACCCAAAGGACAAAGAGGGGACCCCACGACUAUUUUUGGCCCCCAGGGCUACAGAGGCAGCAAAGGAGAUCCCG